RNAcentral lists this long non-coding RNA (600 nucleotides) under Panax ginseng (ginseng). RNAcentral's name for it is "long non-coding RNA (PGIN_LNC015773)". Lineage: Eukaryota; Viridiplantae; Streptophyta; Magnoliopsida; Apiales; Araliaceae. The record is from RNAcentral.
UUGCCUUUCUCGAUGACUUUUUUGACAAUGAUGUUAAAUAACCCCCUGCGUGAAGUCGCGAACCUCUAGAAGUCUUAAAAAAUCUUAAUGGGAACAUAAUCAAGGAUAAAUAGAGGAGAUGCAAACUCUGAUCCACCCAAUCCAUCUCUGUGAAAGCAAAUUCUUUUUUAAAAAGCGAACAAAAAAGAAGAAUCUGUCUAUGAAAUGGGUGAGGUGAACAUUAGUAUUGGCAUGGUGUACUUAUAUUUGGUCUAAAAUUUGCAGCUCCAAGGUCAUUCUUUUCUCUGUCAUCAUUUCUAAUCAAGGGAAGCGAGUCAGAUGACCAUCUCCGGAAGAAAUUUCACAGUUCUAGCAUUUGGGAUCUUCGUUCAUUAUGCCGGUGUAAAGGAUCUUCAGAUCUUCGUUCAUCAGGCCAGUGUAAAGGAUCUGAAAUCUGAAAGGUUUCUUCCAUUUUAUUCUCGUCGAUCUUUACGAACUGUAAUUAUAAGAUAAAGGAUUGGGAAUGUAACGAAUAGAUUUUUCGAGUUGUGAUUCUGGGGACAUAAUCCUUUUAAGGGGGGAAGGAUGUAACCAUCGAGAAAUUUGUAAUUUAAUUUAAAU